Molecule: ribosomal RNA, 301 nt
Filed under: uncultured bacterium
Lineage: Bacteria
Description: partial 16S ribosomal RNA
Rfam family: Bacterial small subunit ribosomal RNA
Source: RNAcentral
CAGCCGCCGCGGUAAUACGAAGGGGGCUAGCGUUGUUCGGAUUUACUGGGCGUAAAGCGCACGUAGGCGGACUUUUAAGUCAGGGGUGAAAUCCCGGGGCUCAACCCCGGAACUGCCUUUGAUACUGGAAGUCUUGAGUAUGGUAGAGGUGAGUGGAAUUCCGAGUGUAGAGGUGAAAUUCGUAGAUAUUCGGAGGAACACCAGUGGCGAAGGCGGCUUACUGGCUCAUACUGGACGCUGAGGUGCGAAAGCGUGGGGAGCAAACAGGAUUAGAUACCCCGGUAGUCCCUGUCUCUUAUAC